GACAGAGGCCUCGAGCGUUAGGCGGAAUCACUGGGCUUAAAGCGCGCGCAGGCGGUCCUUUAAGUCUGAUGUGAAAGCCCACGGCUCAACCGUGGAGGGUCAUUGGAAACUGGGGGACUUGAGUACAGAAGAGAAGAGUGGAAUUCCACGUGUAGCGGUGAAAUGCGUAGAUAUGUGGAGGAACACCAGUGGCGAAGGCGACUCUUUGGUCUGUAACUGACGCUGAGGCGCGAAAGCGUGGGGAGCAAACAGG
RNAcentral lists this ribosomal RNA (253 nucleotides) under uncultured bacterium. Its description in RNAcentral is "partial 16S ribosomal RNA". It matches the Rfam family "Bacterial small subunit ribosomal RNA", at positions 524 to 776 of the family's 1533-position model. The record is from RNAcentral.